UAACUAGGACUCAGAGACCGGGUGUCU
Molecule: non-coding RNA, 27 nt
Filed under: Rattus norvegicus (Norway rat)
Lineage: Eukaryota; Metazoa; Chordata; Mammalia; Rodentia; Muridae
Source: RNAcentral